RNAcentral lists this ribosomal RNA (253 nucleotides) under uncultured bacterium. RNAcentral's name for it is "partial 16S ribosomal RNA". It matches the Rfam family "Bacterial small subunit ribosomal RNA", at positions 524 to 776 of the family's 1533-position model. The record is from RNAcentral.
UACGUAGGGGGCAAGCGUUAUCCGGAUUUACUGGGUGUAAAGGGAGCGUAGACGGCGCGGCAAGUCCGAAGUGAAAGGCAGGGGCUUAACCCCUGAACUGCUUUGGAAACUGCCAUGCUAGAGUGCUGGAGAGGUAAGUGGAAUUCCUAGUGUAGCGGUGAAAUGCGUAGAUAUUAGGAGGAACACCAGUGGCGAAGGCGGCUUACUGGACAGUAACUGACGUUGAGGCUCGAAAGCGUGGGGAGCAAACAGG